GUGCUUGCUUCAGCAGCAUGUGUACUAAAACUGGAACAAUACAGGGAAGAUUUGCAUGGCCCCUGUGCAAGAGCCACUCACAAAUUCAUAAAUUGUUCCAUAUUUUU
Cynocephalus volans (Philippine flying lemur) is the source of this 107-nucleotide small nuclear RNA. The record is from RefSeq and is a predicted model, not a curated record. NCBI's taxonomy places the organism in Eukaryota, Metazoa, Chordata, Mammalia, Dermoptera, Cynocephalidae.